This 695-nucleotide ribosomal RNA is filed under the name Sepioteuthis lessoniana. RNAcentral describes it as "12S ribosomal RNA". Lineage: Eukaryota; Metazoa; Mollusca; Cephalopoda; Myopsida; Loliginidae. The record is from RNAcentral.
CAUAAUGCUAAGAUUUAAAAGAUAGAUUACGCAGUAUUUAUUAUUAUACAAUGAAUGAAAGUUUGAUAUAGUUAAUGUAAAUAAGAGUGGUUAAAUUGGUGCCAGCAUCUGCGGUUAUACCAAUACUUUAAAUUUAUAUAGACAAUAGUAUAAAAUAAAGUAGUAGUAAUAAUAUAGAUUAGGAUUAAUGAGGAUAAUAAUUGUAAGUAAAAUUUAAUUGUUAUAAUUAAUUAUAGAAUCCUAAUAGUUAGAAUCUUUGAAAAUAAGAAGGAAAACUAGGAUUAGAGACCCUACUAUUCUUUAUUUUAAAAAUUUAUUUACUUGAGGAGUAAGAGUGUAUAGAAUAUAAAUUAUUUAUACUUGAAACUUAAAAGGCUUGGCGGUGUUAUAUAUCCUUCCAGGGGAGCUUGCUUAUUAAUUUGAUAAUCCUCAAUUUAUACUUACUUUUUUUGGAUAAACAGUUUGUGUAUUGCUGUCGUCAGUUUAUUUUGUAAAAAGAUUAGAAAAAACUUUAUAAUAAUUAGAUUAUGAUGUCAAGUCAAAAUGCAGCUUAUAAAAAAGGUUUAUAAAGUGAGCUACGAUUUAUAAUAUUUAAACCAAUUAAAUUGUGUAAUUAAUUUAUGAAGUUGGACUUGGUAGUAACAAGGUAUUUAAAUAGUGAGUCCUUGUGAAUUAGGUUUUGUGACGCGUACAUA